Long non-coding RNA from Homo sapiens (human), 640 nucleotides. Ensembl annotates it as RNF32 divergent transcript. Its record names the gene RNF32-DT. Lineage: Eukaryota; Metazoa; Chordata; Mammalia; Primates; Hominidae. The record is from Ensembl.
GCUCGCCGGCCCCCGCCCCGCGCACGGCGUCAGCGUCUAGACGCAGGCCCUCCUGGUGAGAUCCCAUCACGUCCCCUGGCCUCCAGUGUCAUCUGCUCUGCAUGAUAUCUCCAGGGGGACCUCUCUGCUGGGCUCCAGGCCGCAUGGCUGUGGGUGACCAGCAUCAUGUCCCACCGGGUCCCCUGCAGUCCCAGUGCACCUGCCUGCUCAUCCAGGGACCUGUCCUCACUGCCUGCUGCCUGCACUGUGUGGAAGGACAGAGGCUAAACGACGAAGCCUCGAGCUCUGGUCUCAUGGAAAUGGCAGCCUGCCCACCACCCACGCUUGCCCAGCCUUUCUUCACGCAUUAAAACGUGGAGAGUGGAAUCUUCUGGGCCCAGGUAAUGCGCCUUUGCUCCGACAUUCCCUUCACUACUCACUGGCGAGCUCAGUUGGAAAUUCACUCCCAAUAGGAGUUCCACGGCAGACACAUCGUGAGUCAUGGCAGAACUUUGUCUUUUAAUUGCAGAAUGUUAAAGAAAGAGUCACUCAGGUAGCAAAGAUUGGCUUUUCAGGGGCGAUUUUAUGGAGCUAUUAACUCAGAGACACCAUUACUUAAAUGUAAUUUUUAUUAUUACAAUUAAAGACUGAUUUGAUUUUA